GUCCACAAAAGUCCACCAGAACCUAUACACUAAAGUUAAACAGGUUGACUGCAAGCUAAAGUAGAAGCUCCUUGUGUAAUACCUACCCUUUGAGUAUGGGUUGGUUUUAGUUAUUUGCUUCCAGAGAAUAGAAAUUUCUUCCAUGAUUCAGUGCAUAAUAUUUUGACUUGUCUUUCUUGCUAGUAGACUUUCAUGCUCUCACUCUCUCUCUCUCCCUCUCUCUCUGUCUCUCUCACUGGCAGAAGAAAUCUUAAAAGUUUGAGAAGAAAAUAUGGUAAAUAACUAAGAGAAAUCUCUGGUCAAUACUCAACAAGUCCUUCAGUCCAACAAUAUUCCAUACAUGAAAUCCUGCCAAAAACCAGGCUGCCUGUUUGAGCUGAGAUGUUGGUCUUCUCCUUCCCUUGGACUGGAAUUUACACCAUCAUCUUCCCUGUUUCUUUGGCCUUUGGUCUCAUACUUGAAUUACCACCAGUUUUUCUGG
RNAcentral lists this long non-coding RNA (481 nucleotides) under Homo sapiens (human). RNAcentral's name for it is "HSALNT0069909". Lineage: Eukaryota; Metazoa; Chordata; Mammalia; Primates; Hominidae. The record is from RNAcentral.